UCGUCUUUUUUUUGGCUAUCUUAUAUUAUCAACCUUCAUAUAAAGUACCUUCGAACAACACUACAAGGUACCAAAGAAGUGGUCCACAAAUUUUAGGAUGAAAAAAACAAAAAUGCCAGUGGCAAAUAUUUCAUGCAUAUUCAGGAUGAUACACAAAUUUUACGAUUCUACUGUGAAAAAAUAAUAAUAAUUUAAAAUAAACUAAUAUUUAACCAUUUAAAUACAUCGUCUUUUCUUCGUUGGCUAUUCUUCCUUGCGAAAACCAUGGAGUAUGGUUUUCAGUAGAGUGCGCCUCUUUUCUUGCGUUGUCUUUUUUCCCUCUGAUAUGUAUUUUAUGUGAUAUGAAGUCAAUGUUAUUCUUUAUUGCUAUUUGUUGUGUUAUGUGCAAGUGUAUUUUUUUUUUUUGUAUGAAUAAAUUGUGGGACUUUGGCGGGAAAUUUGUGGGUGGGUAAAUUUCCCAAAUUGACUAUUCAAAUUUUACGAUUCUACUGUGAAAAAUAAUAAUAAUAAUUUAAAAUAAACUAAUAUUUAACCAUUUAAAUACAUUCGUUUUUCUUCGUUGGCUAUUCUUCCUUGCGAAAACCAUGGAGUAUGGUUUUCAGUAGAGUGCGCCUCUUUUCUUGCGUUGUCUUUUUCUACCUCUGAUAUGUAUUUUAUGUGAUAUGAAGUCAAUUUUAUUCUUUAUUGCUAUUUGUUGUGUUUUGUGCUAGUGUAAUUUUUUUUUUUUUGUAUGAAUAAAUGUCUGGGACUUUGGCAAGGGGAAUUUGUGGGAUGGGUAAUUUCCCAAAUUGACUAUUCAAAUUUUU
Molecule: long non-coding RNA, 806 nt
Filed under: Mytilus galloprovincialis (Mediterranean mussel)
Lineage: Eukaryota; Metazoa; Mollusca; Bivalvia; Mytilida; Mytilidae
Source: RNAcentral